RNAcentral lists this ribosomal RNA (253 nucleotides) under uncultured bacterium. RNAcentral describes it as "partial 16S ribosomal RNA". It matches the Rfam family "Bacterial small subunit ribosomal RNA", at positions 524 to 776 of the family's 1533-position model. The record is from RNAcentral.
UACGUAGGGCGCAAGCGUUAUCCGGAAUUAUUGGGCGUAAAGAGCUCGUAGGCGGUUUGUCGCGUCUGCCGUGAAAGUCCGGGGCUCAACUCCGGAUCUGCGGUGGGUACGGGCAGACUAGAGUGAUGUAGGGGAGGCUGGAAUUCCUGGUGUAGCGGUGAAAUGCGCAGAUAUCAGGAGGAACACCGGUGGCGAAGGCGGGUCUCUGGGCCGUAACUGACGCUGAGGAGCGAAAGCAUGGGGAGCGAACAGG